This 497-nucleotide ribosomal RNA is filed under the name uncultured bacterium. Its description in RNAcentral is "partial 16S ribosomal RNA". It matches the Rfam family "Bacterial small subunit ribosomal RNA", at positions 28 to 507 of the family's 1533-position model. The record is from RNAcentral.
GAUGAACGCUGGCGGCGUGCCUAAUACAUGCAAGUCGAGCGAACGGACGAGACGCUUGCUUCUCUGAUGUUAGCGGCGGACGGGUGAGUAACACGUGGAUAACCUACCUAUAAGACUUGGAUAACUUCGGGAAACCGGAGCUAAUACCGGAUAAUAUUUUUAACCUCAUGGUUCAAAAGUGAAAUACGUUCUUGCUGUCACUUAUAGAUGGAUCCGCGCUGCAUUAGCUAGUUGGUAAGGUAACGGCUUACCAAGGCAACGAUGCAUAGCCGACCUGAGAGGGUGAUCGGCCACACUGGAACUGAGACACGGUCCAGACUCCUACGGGAGGCAGAAGUAGGGAAUCUUCCGCAAUGGGCGAAAGCCUGACGGAGCAACGCCGCGUGAGUGAUGAAGGGCUGCGGAUCGUAAAACUCUGUUAUUAGGGAAGAACAUAUGUGUAAGUAACUGUGCACAUCUUGACGGUACCUAAUCAGAAAGCCACGGCUAACUACGUG